GUCCACGCCGUAAACGAUGAGAACUAGGUGUUGCGGGUAUUGACCCCUGCAGUGCCGUAGCUAACGCAUUAAGUUCUCCGCCUGGGAAGUACGGUCGCAAGACUAAAACUCAAAGGAAUUGACGGGGCCCGCACAAGCGGUGGAGCAUGUGGUUUAAUUCGACGCAACGCGCAGAACCUUACCUGGGCUUGACAUCUACGGAACCCUCCCGAAACGGAGGGGUGCCUUUCGGGGAGCCGUAAGACAGGUGCUGCAUGGCUGUCGU
RNAcentral lists this ribosomal RNA (265 nucleotides) under uncultured bacterium. RNAcentral's name for it is "partial 16S ribosomal RNA". It matches the Rfam family "Bacterial small subunit ribosomal RNA", at positions 793 to 1055 of the family's 1533-position model. The record is from RNAcentral.